AGAGUUUGAUCCUGGCUCAGAACGAACGCUGGCGGCAGGCCUAACACAUGCAAGUCGAACGAACCUUCGGGUGAGUGGCGCACGGGUGCGUAACACGUGGGAAUAUACAUUUCGGUAAGGAAUAACUCAGAGAAAUUUGGGCUAAUACCUUAUAAUGACUCCGGUCCAAAGAUUUAUCGCCGAAAGAUUAGCCCGCGCUAGAUUAGUUUGUUGGUGAGGUAAGAGCUCACCAAGACUACGAUCUAUAGCUGGUCUGAGAGGAUGAUCAGCCACACUGGAACUGAGACACGGUCCAGACUCCUACGGGAGGCAGCAGUGAGGAAUAUUGGACAAUGGGGGAAACCCUGAUCCAGCCAUGCCGCGUGAGUGACGAAGGCCUUAGGGUUGUAAAGCUCUUUCAGAUGCGAAGAUAAUGACGGUAACAUCAGAAGAAGCUCCGGCUAAAUUCGUGCCAGCAGCCGCGGUAAUACGAAUGGAGCGAGCGUUGUUCGGAAUCACUGGGCGUAAAGCGUAUGUAGGCGGACAUGAAAGUCAGAAGUGAAAUCCCAGGGCUCAACCCUGGAAUUGCUUUUGAAACUCCAUGUCUCGAGUCCCGGGAGGGGUUGACGGAAUU
Molecule: ribosomal RNA, 613 nt
Filed under: uncultured Alphaproteobacteria bacterium
Lineage: Bacteria; Pseudomonadati; Pseudomonadota; Alphaproteobacteria
Description: bacterial SSU rRNA
Rfam family: Bacterial small subunit ribosomal RNA
Source: RNAcentral